RNAcentral lists this ribosomal RNA (842 nucleotides) under uncultured bacterium. RNAcentral describes it as "bacterial SSU rRNA". It matches the Rfam family "Bacterial small subunit ribosomal RNA", at positions 26 to 898 of the family's 1533-position model. The record is from RNAcentral.
AGAAUCAACGCUGGCGGCGCGCUUAACACAUGCAAGUCGAACGAGAAAGCGGGGGCAACCUCGUGAGUAAAGUGGCGUACGGGUGAGUAACACGUGGGUAAUCUACCUCUUGGUGUGGAAUAACGCUGGGAAACCGGCGCUAAUACCGCAUAAGCUCGGGAGAGGAAAGCAGCAAUGCGCCGAGAGAGGAACCCGCGGCCGAUUAGCUAGUUGGUGAGGUAACGGCCCACCAAGGCAAAGAUCGGUAGCCGGCCUGAGAGGGCACACGGCCACACUGGCACUGAAACACGGGCCAGACUCCUACGGGAGGCAGCAGUGGGGAAUCUUGCACAAUGGGGGCAACCCUGAUGCAGCGACGCCGCGUGAGCGAUGAAGCCCUUCGGGGUGUAAAGCUCUUUCGGCAGGGAAGAAUCAUGACGGUACCUGCAGAAGCAGCUGCGGCUAACUACGUGCCAGCAGCCGCGGUAAUACGUAGGCAGCGAGCGUUGUUCGGAGUUACUGGGCGUAAAGGGUGUGUAGGCGGUCCUCUAAGUUUGGUGUGAAAUCUCCCGGCUCAACCGGGAGGGUGCGCCGAAAACUGGGGGACUAGAGUGCGGGAUGGGAGAGUGGAAUUCCUGGUGUAGCGGUGAAAUGCGUUGAUAUCAGGAGGAACACCGGUGGUGUAGACGGCUCUCUGGACCGUAACUGACGCUGAGACACGAAAGCGUGGGUAGCAAACAGGAUUAGAUACCCUGGUAGUCCACGCCCUAAACGAUGCAUAUUUGGUGUAGGUCAUUCAGUUGAUCUGUGCCGGAGCUAACGCGUUAAAUAUGCCGCCUGGGGAGUACAGUCGCAAGGCUGAA